GGACAAUGAGCAAAUGAAAAAUACAUCAUUUUUAGACCUCAGGAAAUGCAAAAUACCACAAUGUGCUGUCAUUCUUUACUCAGAACAACUCUCAAUGAAAAAAAAAGCCAAACAUAAACUUGCUAAAGGUUGGUAAGAAAUAUAAACACUCUCACAUGGAGAAACAGAGAAAGGAGGGAGGGAGGGAAGGAAGAAAAGGGACAGAGAAAGAGAAACUUGAGAGGCAGAAAUAGGGCAAAUGGAAAAGUGUUUUAUAUAAUUGUGUUCCCCCGCUACCUUAUUUGUUCUCAUGGAAGUCAUCAUAGAGAGGAAAAUCUGUGCUGUGCCUACAAUCUCUGUCUUAGUGAUGAACUGGAAAGAAAAGAAAAAAGAAAUUGGGAAAAACAGGAGAGAUUUGAGAGCUAUGUGUAGUCCUUGCAUUAGAGCCUUAGACGCUGGAGAAAUUGCUUCAUUUCCUGGGGCUCCUGUCUCCUUAAAUGGCACAAUGUGUUUACCUGCCGAUGAGCAGCUGUACCUGGAACCCAGUGGUGAGGAUACUGGAAGGAUUGCAUCAGUUCUGUACCUGACUCAUUGAGAUGGGGUAAUGGUAAAGUUGGAGGUGAGAGGAAAAGAAUCGCAAUUUCUCUUAAGAUUUCCUGUGAAUUAUCCUAGUCUGUGGGCAAAUUCUCAAGAAUGCUGUUUUGAAAAGGGUGACGAUAUUUAGUUAAAAUGUCCUCAGAGGAAGGGGAGGUUAGGCCUGAGAAAAGCGUGCCCAAACCACAGAGCCUGCCGAGUGCAGGCCACAUCACCAGCAACGGCCUUAAUGAGCUCUGGGCUGGACUCUCCCAAUUGAAUUACAUAAUACAUUUCCGUUUCAUUUCAUGAAUCACGACUUGGGAUACAAUGUUCCUGGGUUGCAGUUGAUAUAUUUCAGAGAUUACCAAAGAUUUCAAACAGAAAAAAAGAUCUAUUUUAUUAAACUCAUAUGUAAAAUGUCUGUAUGUCAGCCAACUUAUUUAUUUUCAAAUUUGGGAUUUUUGUAAAUGUCAUCGUUAGACAAUGUCAAGAGAGUUCCCGAUAAACCCAUUAAUGAAUGGUAUGACUGAAGCGGCCCCUGGACAUUUCAUUUCUCUUGACAACCAGGUUCCUGCUUGAUGAUGGUGGCUUUUAUUUCAACUGCUUCUGUUGGGUGAAAGUGAGGAAAAUAUGGCAAACCUCAAAGCAUGGACCAGGGGGAAGUCAGGCUCAACCAGACUGUUCACGGGCAUAUGGUCUGAGAUGAUCCAUCAUGGUCUAUGAUGUCAGAUUAUCCACUGAGACUUGGGACUCUGCAGAAAUAUAGUUCUGUUCAGAUAAUGGUAUUUCCAGUUGUUGUGAUGGACAAGACCGACGCUGUGGAAAACAGACUGGUAGGAUACCAGAUGACAGACGCACAAGGCAGGCAGAAGAACAAGGCAUUGUGAACUGAGCCGUAGGUGAGUUUUGCAGUGCCUUCCUCCACUGCAUUUCUCAGCAGUCAGCAUUGGUUACCAUCCCAAACCCCAUAGUCAACCAGUCCACAGACACACAGCCUUUGGUGUGGUAAGUUCCUGGCCACUGUCGUGAUGAUUACCCAAGCUUCCACAGGCUCUUCCCGCUGUGCAUCCCCCUCCUGCUACUCUUGUCUCGCUUCAUAAACCUGAAAGGCCAUGUAAAGGGCUGCUUUCAGCCCCUUCCUCCCUGUGGUUAACAGCUCCAAUCAUUUACUCUUCCUCUGCAUCGUUUGUUUUGUUUUUCCUGUCUUUAACUCAUUCUCUUUAUAUUUUUUCUGGAAUAUUCUCCUAAAUCCCCUAUAUUCUGCCCUGAAUAUUUUGCCUUCCAAUACUGAAGCAAGAAAAAAUGAGAGACCUGGAAGGACUUGUGGGCAGGGGAAAGAAUAAGAUCAAAAUAGACUGCAGGAAAACAAUAAAAAUAAUUCUAAAAUGUAAUUUAAAAAGAACAAUCAGAACCUACCCCUAUGGAACUCCAUUAUUUUACCUACAUGUAUAAUGUAUAUCACAUGUGAACACUGUAUACAUCCACUGACUUUAGCAGGGUACUGUGUAGACAAAGAAGCAAAAUGACACCAUGGAAAUAUGGUCUUUGAGACCAAGAUGACUUAGAUUUAAAUGGCUGAUUUGCUGUUUACCGAGUGUUUGAGCCUUGGAAGUAUUAUGACUUAACCUCUAGGUUCCUAUGGUUCCUUUGUUUAUCCUACGAGUGAGCUGUAAAACUUAUCAUCAUAUUGGCAUACAGGCAACCAAUGUUUGGAGCCCAUCAUGUCUGUCAUUUCUAUGAUUAAUCAACUCCUUCACAUGCCUGUUUUUUAAGCUGCAGAUCUUUUUGUGGAUACAUAAUCCAUAUUGUAUUAAUACAGAAUCUCAAUCAUAUUAAAAUUUGUUUAAAUGAAUGAGUUUUGAAGGCACUUUUCAGGGUCCAUAGACAUAGUAAACAGACAGAAUCAAUGUCAAUUAAAAAUCCAGAAGUGUCUCACCUUGCUUGGCCCCUGUUUCUCAGAGACCACCCCCACUGAUCACUUUUCCAUUCCAAUUCCAAGUUUUCCUUUUCUGUCUUGGGUGAAAAGUUGAGUGAUAGAAGUUGGGAUGUAGGUCUGAAAACCUCAGGAAAUGGUUAAGUUUACUUUCCUUCUUAAAUGUAUAUUUUAACAUUUUAACAGAGGACAUUGUUAAAAAACCAAGCUGCUCUUCUGACUCCUAAGAAUGGUGAUUUCUUGGCAGAUCUAUAUGUUGUUUUCCACCCUAGACUAGCAACUCAAUCUCCAAGGAAGAACACAAGGAAUCAGGUUUUAACAGGGACAUCAUCACUGGGCCAGCUGGAAAGCCUGAUCUAAAUCAAUCACAAGAUAAUAUAUCUGAACACCAUCCUGCCUAUGUGAAGUUUGUAUGCAACAAACAGGAUUAAUUUAACUCCUCAGGGAGUUUAGAUUCCCUUCGCAAAUUAUAUGCAACACAUAUAUGUAUGUGUACUAUGUGUAGUGUGUAUAUUUAUGUGGUAGUACCCAUGUACAUACUCAGCUGUACUUUUCAGGGUUUCAGUUAUCCAUGGUCAACCAUAGACAGAAUGCAUUCAAUGGAAAGUUUUAAGAUAAACACCUCAUGCGUCUUCAGUAACUUUCAUGGGACUGUAUAUUUAUGACUAUUCUUUCUUGCCAUCAUCUAUUACUGUUAAUCUCUUACUGUGCAUAAUUUAUAAAGUUCACAAUUGGAGUGUAUAUAUAAAGCAAACAUCACAUCUAGAGGACGUGGGUAUCAUUUGUGCUUUCAAGUGUCCACUUAGAAAAUGCCUAUGAAGACACAUAAGUAAGAAGAGAUCACUGUGUAUGCGCAUAGGAUUAGACAUAUAUACACACACAUACUCAUACAUACACAUUAAAAAUGAUAAACUAUCAUACAGCUUCACUGCUGAAAGAAAUAGGGCAAUAGGAGCAAAAUACACAAGAAAAAAAAAGAUCCCCCAAAAGUUAGGAUCUUUUUCUUGGAGGAAAACAGCUGUUUCUUAGAGAAGUUUAUACAGGCAUUUUCAGUACUACUUAUGGAUAUAUUCAAAUAGCCACAUGAGUCAAAUAAAUUGUAUAGCAAACCUCCCCCCCUAUACCUGUCACUGAUUUUGAAUAUGACUUGCCCACCACCCACCCUUCCCGGUGCUCCUCCUGGAAACCUUUUAAAGCAGGCCACAGAAGCCCUGUACUGGCCACAUGUUUAUUACACUUCUAGGGCAGGAUCACAGGAAUGUUUACUUCAUUUCUACACCUGCCCUGUAGAAGGAGUGCAGACCACAAACCACGGUUCAAGUAGCACUGUGUCAAAGCUCAUGCCAAAGGGCUAGGGUGUAGCUCAGUAGUAGAGCUAGUAUUGCCUAGCAUGUGUGGGAACCCGCAUUUGAUCCCCAGUCCUGGAAAAUUAAAGAAGUAAAUAAAUGAAUAGGCUCAGCAGGGGCUGUGGUGAAGAGGAUUCCAAGCAAGAAACAAGUGACAAGAAAAUGAAAAAGCUCCCCUGGGAAGAACUAACUUCACUACAGGAAUCUGAACUAUGCCAGGUAUGCUGUGUGUUCACUUCUUUUUUAAUGGCUGUUAUCAUUGUGGCAAGAUGACACCCUCACUUUCCAAUGUAUAGAUGAGGAGACAGAGGUUCUAAGAAGAGAGCAACCUACACAGAGUCUUCUAACUAAAACUGUCAGCCUCUCUCUUGGUAACCCUCCAGAAAUUUAUGGUAGGACUAUGUUUCUUAAUUCUAUAUAUUGAAUCAUAGAACAGGGAGAAGUCAAGUUGGUAUCUGAAAACUUCCCCUUAAUGACUAGUUUUCAUACUGUUGGAAGGUGCCAUGCACACUGCUGGAGGAGAAAAUUAGAUUGAUUUUAUCUGGGUAUGAACCUAGAGAACUAUGAUACUGACCAGCCUGGCAAAAGGAUGCCUGCUAGCACAAUAGUGGCACAAAAAAACAUGGAAGUAAACAACCAUUUUCUGGUUGGAUUUAAGGCUCAUUCUACAAAAUAAAACCCUUACAUGGCAUUGCUAUAGGGGUCAAGAAUCUAUGGCUAGAUAGGCCAUAGGCCCUAGAGGGACCUGCUAACAUUAUUCUGCUAAUGAAACAUAUAUUAAACCAAAUUCUAUCAGUUUAUUGUUAUAUCCACGGACUAGUGCAUCUCUCAAGCCUCCUCAGAAGAAAUGCUUUUCACAACAGAAAGCAAUCACAGAGAUCCCACUAUAUGACUGGUUAGGGCAUAAAGAAUGAGGGACUACAAAAUGCAGAAUUUUAAAAGGCAUCUAUAUUGCAUCCCCUCCUCCUCCAAGGCUCUGGGAUCACUUUAGAAGUGGGGAAGAAAGACUGUAAGAGUCAGUGGUUGUGAAUGACUACAAAGAAAGUGUUUUUUGCUGGCACAGGUUGGAAGUUGAAUAGAUACAAAUACACUAUUUGUAGUUACAGUGUGUGCACGACCUGCACAAGUUCAACCUAGACUAAGUCCCAGAAUAAAGAAGGGUUGUGGUCAUCAAGACUCACCUCUAGCUCAAGAACUAUUGGCAAAUGACAGUUUCUGGGAGAGGGAGUUUUGUUGAAGGGUGUGGCCCUUGGUAGGCAGACCAUACUCAAACGGAAGGUCACACAUUCAAAAAUAGUGUGGGCAGUCAAAUUAGACUUGAUGGGUAUAAUAAUAAUAGUAAUAAUAAUAAUAAUAAUAAUAAUAAUAAUAAUAAAGUUGGGUGGUUAAGGAAGGGGGAAUAUAUCUUGGAGUAGCUGGGGAUGAGGUGAAUAUGAUCAAAAUACAUUGUAUGAUCUUGUCAAAGAACUAAAAUGAAUGAGAAAAUUAAUUAUUUAUUCUUUGAAAAUUUCAUAGAUUUGUACAAGGUAUUUUGACUAUAUCCACUCACCACUUCCUCCUUUCAACUUCCUCUAGUUCUCCCCACCCUAUCUCUUUCCUGUCUCUGUGUCCUCUUUUAUUUUUUAAUGUCAUUGAUAACCUCAUGAGUUCAAUUGAUAAUGCCCGUAGUCACACAGGAAGGACCAUCUCCUGGAUCGUAGGCAAAUAAAUCAUCAGUAGCCGUGUUCCAAAGUUGAGGAUGAAGGCCUGGAAGCAGAGUUGGUGGAAUGCACCCAGGUGGGGACACAGUGUGUAAGGAGAAUAGUGUGCCUUAGACAUAGCAGCCACCAAUGAGAGUCAUGAAAACUAAAGUGGAUAAAGCGAUUAAAUCCUAAGAGAGCCAGGUAACAUAUGAUAGGGAAGUUGCUCACAUAAUCUCAAUAAGAUGGUUGCCUAAACAGGCAUAAUGACAAUACCAGUUGAAACACCAACAGGGAUGGGAAAAAUUGCACACCAGGUCCUAUCCUUAGAUAGAAAAUCAGACCUCUAUAGGGAAAAGUACACUCAUGGGUUAUCCAAUCUGAAGUUGUCAGCCCUAAAUAGAUGUACAUAGGCACAAUACUAAAUAGACUCAGUGUGUUUAUGUAUGUAUGUGUUUUCUCUCUCUCUCUCUCUCUCUCUCUCUCUCUCUCUCUCUUUGUGUGUGUGUGUGUGUGUGUGUGUGUGUAUGUGUGUAAGAAUGGAAAUUAAAGAUGAGGUCAUGGAUUUGAGAGUGGAGACAUAGGAGGAGUUGGAGGGGUAAAUAGGGAGCAGGAAUGAUGUAAAUAUAGUGUUCAUAUAUGAAUUUUUUAAUUUUUAAAAACAUUAAAAAUUUAAAUCAAAUUAAAAAACCGAAGUCCCAAUUUUCCAAUGGUUUAAGAUAAUAAGCACUAAAUACUUCCCCAUCACAAAAUCAAACAACAAAAUCACUUUUCAUCACAAAGUGCUUUAGUCUAACUGACAUUUAUGGAGCCCGCAUUCACUCACUCCGUCAUGAUAUUUUUCUGUUGGCUUAUCAUUUACACAUGAAUCUACUGAUAUUUUCAUUAUCAUCUGCCCCCCAUAUCCUCUUAGUCAGCAUCCCACUGACCACUCAGUGUGGCAGUUCCUGGUGGGUUUAAAUUAAAUCUCCAUUCUUCUAUUUAUCAAUAAGACUCAGAGGUCAAAGGCUCUGGUGAAAACCGGCUAGCUCAGAAAGACUGAGUUGCUUUUUGGCCUGAGACACUACAAGAUACAUGUCUCUUCUCUGUCCCAGAACCAAGAGAGCCCAAAUUCUAGUCCCCACCCUUUCUGUCCUGUGCAUCUUCUCUAUCCAAAUCGCUGGCUUUUCUAUGGCCAGUUCUGGUCAGCUAGUCAUUGGCUCCACCCUCUGAUUCAGGGUAUCUCUUUUGGGCAGUCUCGGAAUGUCAGAGUGCAAUCAAUAUAUCUCACACUAACACAAGUUGCCCCCAUAUUGAGGAGGAAAUCAAAGCUACAGGUUCCAGCAGAAAGUAAGGGGUAAAAGAGAAGGUGCACCCCUUCCUUAGAGACUGGCUCUGUUAAUACCUACCUGGCAAACCUAGAUGCAGGUUCCAGCACAGGUAGGUGGGGGAUUAUAGGUCCCAGUGGGGUAGCUCCCCAAAUUAUGAGUGGGGAACAUAUGUUUAAAUUGCCCCCAGUUGCCUUAGCACCAGGUCCCUCAAAGAUGGUCUUAGUGUAAGGAGAAGGUAACAGGGCAUCUUAAGGUGAGCACAUGGGCCUCAGGUUUUGUGCAAGGGAAUCAUGUUACUAAGUAUAUUCACCUUAGAAAAAUAUGGCAGCAGUGGGAUAAUUCUGAAGGAUGAAAGCAACACAGUAAGAAAGAAAAAGCAACUGUGCCAACAGCAAGGCAAGAGCUGAAGAUGGGUGAAAGCAUGGAGGUGACAAGUUUGCAGACAGAGAUCAUAGGCAGGUUCAAAGGCAGGGAUGACUGGACCAGGGGACAGGAAGACAGGAAGAGCUUACAUAGACAACGGUGGUCUCCAUACCAAAAGGUGAUCAGCAUAUUGACUUCACCUGGGUGAGGCAUGUCCCCAGAGAGCUUUCCUCCUGACUCAUGGUUGCAGAGACAUGAGCCUAAGCCGGAAAGAAGGGGACAUAAGACAUUCGGCUCCGUUUGAUUUGGAUGGAGUCAGAAAAGCAACAUGGAACCUCUGACUUUCCAGGGAGAUUUUCCUGGAUAUGUCCCCAAACACAGUGUCCAUCCAGGCUCCAUUCACAUCUGCAGCAGCUGGACCUCAAGAGCCUGCUGGUGUGCUCUACACCCAUGCACUUGCCAGCAGUGGCCUGAGUUGCCAUCACAGCUGUUUUCACAGGUUUUGUUUGGGAACUCAGUGUGGGGCUUGGGAACAGCUGGGAGUUUCUGAGUAAUUGCAUACCCUGGGGGUGGAGGAAGGCCAAGUACAACAGCGUGUCCUCAGGACCCAUGACAGGGCAGUGUAGGAAAUCAGGUGAGAUGGCUCCUAAGAGUGGAGUUCCAGCCAUGGGGGUGGAGCUUGAAGCUCAGCCCAGAGGCAGAGACAGCAGUCCCUACAACACAAAGUAAGGCACCCCAGAGCCCUACCACACCCAAGGGUCACCUACUACUUCAAGGAAAUGUGGGUAUUUUAAAUGCAUAUUAGUAUCUCCCCUUUGCUAUGCUAGAACUACACAACUUGAAAGUCAAGUAGAAAGAAAAUGGAUGAUCUCCUUUGCUGUAAAAUGUGUUUUUGCUUUAAGAUUCAGAUCAAAUAUCAGCUUUGAAGCUUUCUUUAGCUUUCUUUGACCUUGUUCCUCUCUUCACUCCAGGAAGAUUGAUUGUCCGUUCUCUACAUCCAUGCCUAUUCUACCACCAGUGUAAAAUGUAAUCAUCUCCACUCAACUGGUCCAUGCUAAUUCAUUACUCACUGGGCUCUGGGGCCCUGAGGGUAUACUAGAGAGGAAAUGGGAGGCAGUCUUCUCUGUGGAUGUGAGGUAUCUCUGGCAGGGAUUAGACAUCUCACUCAGGUUGAUGGAAUCAAAUUUAAUCCACCCAAGGAUUUUGCACGCACAUUGGAAAUUUCCAAGAGAUAGGUCAAAAUAGCAAUCUACAAGCACAUUUGAAAACCUAACCUUUUAUUUGCUUUCCCAGGAGAAGGCCUUGGAAUACUUGACUCCGUUAGAUGUCAUUUGAAGUUGUCAGUAAGCCACUUCAUUGAAUGACAUGAUGUGUCCCUCCCCUAUCAUUAAAUUAUGAAUACACUCCACUGCCAAGCAAUGUGAGAUCUCAGGACUACAACAUGUUCCCCAAAAUAUAUCACUGUUAUCAAGGAGAAACCUUCUCUAAUACAAUAAAGAAAGGUAUGGUGCCAAAAAUAGUUUCAUUCUAGUAGAACCUUGUUCGUGGAGACCUGUUGCUCAAGGGGAUGUUAGCAUGCUCUAAAUCUCGAUUCUUCUCACUUCUGCAUCAAUAAAAUGCAAAUUCUCCUCUCAUCAUAAUUCUCAACUGUACCCAGAUUCCAAGAUCUUAUCCAUGACCCAACUUUGAAAAUCAGGUUUAGCACAACUUAUUCCCUGGCUUAGACCCUCUGUGAUCCUCUUAUUUUUAAAUCAGGAAUAAAAAAAGACAGCUUUUUGUGACCAGACAGCCAAGAAUCCCAGGUGGGAUUCGCUCCAAGAAGAGCACAUGCAUCUGUCAAGAUCCUGAAAAAUGGUUCCUCUUCAAAUCCUAAUUUUUUUCUUUAAGAGAAAAUAUAUAGAAACCACAAACAUAUUUGUAUCGUUGCCAUCCCAUGCCUUCAUUCUUGGAGGAAGUGUUGGAUUUUCUUGUUCUUUGGCUCUUUGGCUCAGAAAGCAAGGAGUGACAUCAGCGAGCUGAAACUACAAGUUCUACCACCCUUUCCGUGUUAAACUACGAUGUUUACUUCUCCGAGGGUUGGCCAAGAAAGUCCAUUUGGGCUGGAACGCCACAUAUUUAGUCUCAGAAUUAAGGUAAUUUCUUUGGAAAAGUUUCAACCAAAUCAAUUUAUUUCAGAGAUGUUGGUGUUGGGUCCCUUUUAAAAAAUUCCACAGCCCCAGGCUUGUUCACAGUACCUGCUCUGCUAACGCAAUUCCAAGCUGGCUGUCAUACUCAAAGCGGUACACUCUGGGUAUAUGGGACUCUGCAAUGUGGGUGUUGGGUGCCCAAGAAAAACGCUGUGGUUUUAUAGGGUGAAUGUAGCUGCAUGAGCUCACUGGAGACUAAAGAUCCGUGGGACUGAGGGGUUUGGACAAGAACCACUCCUGCUAUCUAUAACAUUUUUUCCAUAAUAAAACACACUCACACAGAUUCUUUCACUUGUUCCAUAAGAGUAUUUUGUGACACAGACAGAGUAGAUAUCAUUCUACCUAUUUUCAUAAAGAAAUACAAGGGUUAGGUGUUGGUAACUCCAUGGGCAAGGCUUCAUAGUUAGGAGUAGCAGACCUGCAAUGUGUCUGCCUCAUGGUUCAGCUCCUUUUUUCAAAGCUGCCUUCUCUAACUAAUCAGAAAGAACUAGGAGUGAAAUGGAACUGUAAAGUGUCUGCCCUUGAGGAUGCAUCAAUGAGAACAUAAUAAACAGAUGUCAAGUAUCCCUUGAAGACUACCCAGAAAGCUCUUGUCCAAACUGUUUCUUCUACUCACUCACUGCUGAUGCCUGAAAUCCCACCACUAACCAUAUGCUUCUUCAGGAAGGAUGCUAGAUGCCUGGUGAAGAUAAUCAACAUGGUUUUCUCCUCAAAUGCCCCAUUUGCAGCAUGAAUUGGUUAAUCUUCCAUCAGAGUACAGAUGGAGUCCACUUCCCAUUACUGUGCAUCUGGAUAGGUUUCAUGAUUGACUUUGUCCAAUAGAAUGCAUCAGAGGUGACUUUGGUGACUUCUGAGACUAGGUCUGAAGAGGUAUUACUGUUUCCUCCACUUUGGAUGCUACACUGAGUCUGCUGCAUAAGAAAUCUGGUCCAAACUACUAGAAGAUGAAAGGGCAUAUGGAAGACAACAAGGGCCCUCCAACCAAGAGCCAACAUCAGCUUCUGAAGCAGUGAGUAAGGCCAUCCUGGGUCUUUCCAUCCCUGUUGCUUCUCCAGCUGAAAGCAGUGACAUGAUCAAGUCCAAGGAAAGCAAAGGAGAGGCUGUUGAGCCAACCCACAGAAUUUUGAGAAAUAACAUUAUUUUUAAGCAGAGCCUAACUGAGCAAGGAAAGCAGACAAGAUUACUUCUAAGAUGCUGUCUACUCAUGAUUCCAAAGCCUCUGUGUAAUGCUAUUGUAAAAAUAUUUUACUAUAGUGAUAGCAAAAUAGAGCAAUAUUCAGAGAAGCAUCUACCAUUGAUUUUGCAAAGAAACUACAUACAGAGGAGAAGCGAGUCACCCAAGUUUGUCAUGAAGUGUUAUAUUGUAGAGCUGAGGAUGUGGUUUUGUUGAUAGGAAUGGCUUUUCUAGCAUUCACAAAGCCAUGGGUUCAAUUCCCAGACUGUAUAUAACUGACCAUGGUGGUAUGAUGGUGCAUGUUUAUAAUCCCAGCACUCAGAGGUGGAGUCAAGAAGACUGACAGUUCAAGUCAUUUUCCACUAUAUGACUAAUUUAAGUCCAGUCUAUGCUGCCUAAGACCUUCUCUCCAACAAAUUAAACUUAAAAUGGUAGAUUUUACAGCAUAGAACCUGACAGAGAGGAACACAAAUCCUGGCCCAUGAUCCAUACCUUCUUAACAGUUUCUCCACACACCUAAAAGAAUGGGUUGGACUGUUUCAUGAAUAGAGAUGCACUCCAUUGUGAAGUUAGCCAGGUCUACACAGAGAAAGGCCCCAAGAAACAGCCCAUUCUAGUGGACUACCCUUCCUAUUGAAUGACACUGACUCUUUCAUGCUUGUUUGGGACCAUGUUCAAAUGUGCAGACUUCAGCUGAAAUCAAGAGAGACUGAAACAGUCAGCCACACUUCAAAUAUUUAUUUUGUAUUCUAACAAUCAAUUUCUCAUCUCUCCUCCCAAUCUUUUUCCACCUGUUUGCAGAAAUAAUUACUAGUGCCCAAUUAUGAGCUCUCUGCCACUUUUCUCUCUGCAUUUCUGAAAGCACUCAGGAAAACUCUUCUCCUGAAGCGUAAGCCAUUACUAACAUAUCGUGGCGUCUGGCGUUGAUGUAGAGCCAAACUGGGAACUUCUGGGUUGGUCUUGGAUUGAGCUGAGGGGAGUUAAAUGUUUGGGGCAGGGGUGGAGUGGGGCUCCAACAAAAUGGCAAAAGUUAACUUCAAAAUGAAUGUCAGAAGAAAGAAUUAGAAGAGACAAUUAAAUAAACACCUGAGUGGAAAUUCCAGGGCUGGUGCCAUCGGCAGAGCAUGCAACACCCAUUUUAGACACAUUCUAAAGACAGUUUCAAUAAGGCAUCUGAGAAGGUGAAUCGAAUAAAUUCCAAAUCUUCAGAACAGGGUGGUUGCUAUGUGGCUUCCUAUGAGUGGACUAUUAAAUGAACUUUAAGGGGAAAAAAAUAAAACCUAGCAGUUUCUCCUGUCAUCGCCCAAUGAAAAAGAAGAGGAAAAGAAUCAGUUAGCCAGCAGAAUGACAUUCAGAUGUUGAAAGGGUGAAACCUGAGCAACACUUCGAAACCUUUGCUAGAAAACAAGAAGCUAGUGUUGAAAGUGAAGACACAAAGGCAAGCACUCUCCGAGGUUUAGCACACAGGCUGUGCCCACACUCUGAUUGGCAUGGACAAUUUGCCUAAGAAAACACAGCGGCCAGAUUCCAGCUAGCACCUUCUCACCUCCAUUUAUAACUGUAAGUGGCAAGGGUGAAGUUGAAAGGGAGAUGAUGGCCAGAACCUUCUCACAUACCUGCUGCUGCCAGCAUAUCUAGAACCAAUGGUUACCUAAGCCUCUCAUUUCAUUCCAACAUGUCUCAACCUACAAAGCAGGUCACACCCACAGAACUGUAGAAGAUUCACUAGCAUACUAGAAUGUCUUUGGUGUCUAGCAUACGUCAAAGACAAUGCAAGUGCUAAGAACAAAAGCCGGCAUCCACCAUCUAUCUAAGACCCAAUCAAUAUUGAUGACUAAGAGUGUUUAGUUUGGAAUAAAUAGCAUGUACAACUGUAGAUGAGACCCAGAUGAUGGAGAGAGCAUUGCAACUAAAAAUGAGAAGACAUGACAAGUUUAGUGAUCUAAUGAUUCCUUAAAAAAAAUUAAGUAUCACUUAAACUCUGGGAAGUCAGUCUCCUGACCCCGAAGCAAGAUAGCUCUACUGCAUGAUGCCUCCAAAGCCCCCUGAAGGUUUGCUGAAGAAAAGGUUGAGCAUCACCCCCUUUUUUGAGCAUCUCUUCUAAUCUACCGCAACUGCUGUAGUCUUCAUCCAAACCACAGUAGAGUUUAGAUAAAAUGAAUUGAACUCUGUCUGACUUUGGGACAAACUGGAUAUGGCUAAGUGUUUGCUAUAUGUUAGCAGAAAUAAAUUCAUUGAAACAAUUCUUGUUCAAGAGGUCAGAAGAUGGGAGGAUAUAGUGAUGCUCUGAUAUCACACAUGCACUCAAGGUUAAAAUAAGAAUCUACCAUAAUUUCUCAGCUUCUUCAUAAUGUGCUCCAUGCCUUUCUCCAAAGUUUUAUCCUGAAAUUAUUAUCCUAAAUUAUUAUCUUAAAAAUCACAUAUUACCUUUUAAUUUUCAUGGAAGAGUAAUCAAAAUAAUCAGUAUAAUUUUGUAGUGUAUUUAAGUAUAGAAAAAUUAAAUGUUAGCUUUUCAUUCAUCUGACAUAAGUGGUGUCCACUGAAAUGUGACUUGAUUUUACUAACUGGAACAUAAAAGUUGUAAGCAUGAAUGGUAUUAAAGCAAACAUCUCACCAACAUUCGACCCUUGGCUCCCUGGGAAAAGAGGUAAUUGGACUCCUCUAGAAAACUCUGGUACAGCAAAUAAAUGUUAUUUAGAACUAUGUCAUUUCGUCUAUUUCUUUUUAUCUUGUUAAAUUCAAAUAAAAUUAAAAUUGUCCCAUGAGGGAUUAGUUUUUAAACUUUCAUAAUAUAAUUCUUCAUACUAUUUUUUAGUGUCUAAAUUUUCUAACAUAAAAUUGUAUUUCUUUCAACAUAACAAAAAUUAACACUUUAUGCCAGGCAAUGGAGGUACAGUCCUUUAAUCCAAGCACUGGGGAGUCAGAGAGGUGGUUGGAUCUCUGUGAGUUCAAGGCCAUCUUGGUCUACAAAGUGAAUUCCAGGACAUCCAGGGCUACACAGAGAACCCUUGUCUCAGAAAAAAUGGCAUGUAUUUAUUGUUAGUUGUGUGUGUUUGUGUCACCACCCAUGUGUGGAGAUUCGAGAACAACUUGCAAGCAUUGGUUCCCUUCUUCCAUAUGUGGGCUCCACAGAUGGAGCCCAGGUCUUCAGCCUACAAAUCAAGUGCUUUUACCUGAUGGUCCACUCCACUCAAUCCUAAAAUAACAUAUUUUAACAUUGGUGCAGGAUUCAGGUAAAUCCAUACAUUUUCUCCAUCAUUCUAGCUAAGGGCAUCUCUUCCAGGAAUAGUAAAGCUGCCAAGAUAGUGUUCCCUCCUGAGAAAAUUUCCUUACAAGCUAGGAAUUAGAAAGACCCACAGAUGAGAUGAAGCUGGGAUACAGUUAAUGCCAUGCAGGACUCUUAAAAUGAAUAAACUGAGGACAAGGAAGAUGUUGGGGCUCUGGGACCUCAGUGUGGCAACACCACCUCUGCCUGCAUUCAUUAAUUAUACAACAUGAACUAAAAGUUAUGGACCUGCCAGGCUAUUGCACAGACUAAAGUGGUGACUGAGAUGCCAUUAGGGCCCCCAUCAAAGUAGACUAGCAAGAGACACUAAGUCAUCAAAAGGCAACUAAAUAUGAGUCAAUUGGAUCUCAUAGUGUUCUUUCCUGUAUCUCUCCAAAUAUUCUACAGAAAUGGUAUGUGCACACAUGUAUGUGUGUGGUGUGGGAGCACAGGUGGGCACAUGCAUGGGUGCGGGACAGAAAGAGAGGGAGAGGGAGACAGACAGAUGGACAGACAUAGAUAGAGAACUGAA
This 14343-nucleotide long non-coding RNA is filed under the name Cricetulus griseus (Chinese hamster). RNAcentral's name for it is "lncRNA (ENSCGRG00015040427.1)". Lineage: Eukaryota; Metazoa; Chordata; Mammalia; Rodentia; Cricetidae. The record is from RNAcentral.